RNAcentral lists this ribosomal RNA (975 nucleotides) under Kocuria sp. J11Y304. RNAcentral describes it as "bacterial SSU rRNA". It matches the Rfam family "Bacterial small subunit ribosomal RNA", at positions 94 to 1072 of the family's 1533-position model. Lineage: Bacteria; Bacillati; Actinomycetota; Actinomycetes; Micrococcales; Micrococcaceae. The record is from RNAcentral.
AGUGGCGAACGGGUGAGUAAUACGUGAGUAACCUGCCCUUGACUCUGGGAUAAGCCUGGGAAACUGGGUCUAAUACUGGAUACUACCUCGCACCGCAUGGUGGGUGGUGGAAAGGGUUUUACUGGUUUUGGAUGGGCUCACGGCCUAUCAGCUUGUUGGUGGGGUAAUGGCUCACCAAGGCGACGACGGGUAGCCGGCCUGAGAGGGUGACCGGCCACACUGGGACUGAGACACGGCCCAGACUCCUACGGGAGGCAGCAGUGGGGAAUAUUGCACAAUGGGCGGAAGCCUGAUGCAGCGACGCCGCGUGAGGGAUGACGGCCUUCGGGUUGUAAACCUCUUUCAGUAGGGAAGAAGCGAGAGUGACGGUACCUGCAGAAGAAGCGCCGGCUAACUACGUGCCAGCAGCCGCGGUAAUACGUAGGGCGCAAGCGUUGUCCGGAAUUAUUGGGCGUAAAGAGCUCGUAGGCGGUUUGUCGCGUCUGCUGUGAAAGCCCGGGGCUCAACCCCGGGUCUGCAGUGGGUACGGGCAGACUAGAGUGCAGUAGGGGAGACUGGAAUUCCUGGUGUAGCGGUGAAAUGCGCAGAUAUCAGGAGGAACACCGAUGGCGAAGGCAGGUCUCUGGGCUGUUACUGACGCUGAGGAGCGAAAGCAUGGGGAGCGAACAGGAUUAGAUACCCUGGUAGUCCAUGCCGUAAACGUUGGGCACUAGGUGUGGGGGGACAUUCCACGUUUUCCGCGCCGUAGCUAACGCAUUAAGUGCCCCGCCUGGGGGAGUACGGCCGCAAGGCUAAAACUCAAAGGAAUUGACGGGGGGCCCGCACAAGCGGCGGAGCAUGCGGAUUAAUUCGAUGCAACGCGAAGAACCCUUACCAAGGCUUGACAUUCACCGGGACCGCCCCAGAGAUGGGGGUUUCCCUUUCGGGGCUGGUGGACAGGUGGUGCAUGGGUUGUCGUCAGCUCGUGUCGUGAGA